This 253-nucleotide non-coding RNA is filed under the name uncultured bacterium. RNAcentral's name for it is "partial 16S ribosomal RNA". It matches the Rfam family "Bacterial small subunit ribosomal RNA", at positions 524 to 776 of the family's 1533-position model. The record is from RNAcentral. RNAcentral also lists the same sequence under 1 other name.
UACAGAGGUCCCAAGCGUUGUUCGGAUUCAUUGGGCGUAAAGGGUGCGUAGGUGGCGCCGUAAGUCGGGUGUGAAAUUUCGGAGCUUAACUCCGAAACUGCAUUCGAUACUGCGGUGCUUGAGGACUGGAGAGGAGACUGGAAUUCAUGGUGUAGCAGUGAAAUGCGUAGAGAUCAUGAGGAAGACCAGUGGCGAAGGCGGGUCUCUGGACAGUUCCUGACACUGAGGCACGAAGGCCAGGGGAGCAAACGGG